CACGUAGGGGGCGAGCGUUGUCCGGAUUUAUUGGGCGUAAAGAGCUCGUAGGCGGCUAAGUAAGUGAGGUGUGAAAACUCCAGGCUCAACCUGGAGACGCCACCUCAUACUGCUUUGGCUAGAGUCCGGUAGGGGAGCAUGGAAUUCCUGGUGUAGCGGUGAAAUGCGCAGAUAUCAGGAGGAACACCAGUGGCGAAGGCGGUGCUCUGGGCCGGUACUGACGCUGAGGAGCGAAAGCGUGGGGAGCAAACAGG
RNAcentral lists this ribosomal RNA (254 nucleotides) under uncultured bacterium. Its description in RNAcentral is "partial 16S ribosomal RNA". It matches the Rfam family "Bacterial small subunit ribosomal RNA", at positions 524 to 776 of the family's 1533-position model. The record is from RNAcentral.